UCAAAAUCUGAUGAUGGAGUGAAUUACUCGAUUUCUUAGACUAUUGUAAUGUAAACUCGAAUUAGAGAAGAUGAUGAGUGGAAAUGGUGAAAAUGUUCUAAGAGAUUGAGUACAAGAAAAAGACUGAUUGGAGUUUGUGGUGUAGCUUUUUUUUAGAAAAAUAUUUGAUUGUUUUUUUUCAUUGAAGAGCAACUAGCUUUUCCUAUUAGUUAUUUUAAUUCAAAAUUCUAAAGAAAUUUUUUACAUUUUUGUUUAGGACAAUUUUUUUUUACAUCUAGAAAAGCAAAACAGAAACGAUCCAUCCCAAAAGUUAUAAGAGUGAGCUUACAAAAAUUUCGAAAAAUAAAACCAGAAUAAAAUGAAUUUUAUCCUGCAUUUGGUCGCGAAAAAACACUGUAAAUUUUUUAAGGAAAAAAGUGAGACGUCUGCACAGCAAACUUUCAUGCCUUGGUGGGCUUUUAUUAUGGAUUUUGUCUUACAAAUGAUUAAUUUGGACGGAGACAAGAACAUUAUUUUUUGCCAAGCAAUACACAUGCACAAAAAGGCACAAAUAAUUGUUUAUUUCUCCUAUCCACAACAGAAAUAUGCAAAAUCUCUUGCACUGCUAACAAAUAAUUAAAAAAAUACAGAGUGCCAACAACGAACAGUGUACCAAAUGGUGAAUACAUUGAUGCAUUCUUACACUGUUUUGUUCUUGGAACUCUAAAUAGUAUUAAGUAACUGAGAGAUACUAGCGGACAUAUUUAAAAACCAACGUCACGCAAUCGAGGCAAAUACCAUAGCCAAACAAAUAAACCAAAUGGCAGGAGAAAUUGUGUUAAUUGUAAUGAAGGUUUAGCUAAAGACCGAUACUUUUUUCAUUAUUUUAUUUAAUUUUAGGGUUAAGAAAAAAUGUGAAAAAAAAUGGAUUUCGAAAGAAGUAUAAACGAAAUAAACCCAAGAUAAAAAUUGACCUCAUCGAACGAAGCAUAGCAGUAGGAUCACAAUAAUGAUCUCUGUUUAGACGAUCAAUUUAAUAAAUUAUAUUGAAAAUGUUAAAAUCACACCAGCAUGGUACAAUUUGAAAUUUAAAUGAAGAAAAUAUUUAUUUUAUAUACUUAAUAUGAACGUGUAUGAUCUGAAAUAGAAAGAUAGUAGAUGGAUAACGUAGGUUCCAUAUUAUAAACAAAAAUGAAAAUUCACAGAAUUUUCGCCUUUGUAGACGAGAAGCGAUCUUUACAUAAAAAAAAAUGAAUAGCGGGUCAACGAGCAAUAUUGUUCGAAUUUAUGUCUUUCUGAUCUGUUCUAGUCUGAUCAAAAAAUUAUAUUAAUUUUAAUGACCCCAAAGUUGUUCGACGCAUCACCUUAACAAAGAGACUUACAAAUCUUAAUUGACACCUGUUUGACAAGAUCACAAUAUAUUGGAAACUUCUACAUUCGAGUUUGUAUGAGCAUUUGUACUACCCUUUCAUGGGUACAUAUUCAUGAAAUUACUUUUAUCAAUCAUAAGGCUUGAUUUUUACUUACCAAAAAAAUACUCCGAGUGUCAAAGUACAUUUUCGUGCAAUUUAAAGAAGGAACGUAGUCAAAAGGAACGUUUGCUGUCGAAUUUAUUAUUUGGAGCGUAGGUGGCACAUCUUCAUUUUUUUUAUUCAAAUGUAGAUUAUUGCAAGCUUCUUUCAGAACCUUGGAUAACUGCACAGUUGGGUGUCUAUAGAAGAAAGGCUUACUUUACGGUAAAUGCUCGUAGAAUCUAUAGAUAGAUAGGUAGAUCUACCUAUCAUAUUAAAUGCUUAUUUCAGUGAACACAUUUUUGGCUUUAUAUGCUCACAAAUGCCGUUGAAGCUCGUAGCUGCACAAUAUGUGGCAUGUUUUGAAGUUAUCUCUUUAAAACUAAAAUUUUCAAUUUUUACCGAAUUAUCUUAGAUUCGGGUGAGUUAAGAUUCUUAACAUUGAGCUUCAGGUCAUGAAGACUUUCAACUUUCAGGUAUAAUUCUAGUAAAAUCCAACCUGUCAGAGACAAAGCGAAAAAGUACAGUUAGAAACCUGAUUUGUUUUUUGAAAAAGCUUAUGUAUUCCGAUGAUUUACACCUUUCAGUAACGGCUGGCGCUUUGCAAUUUAUUCAUUAAAUCUACUACUUCUUGUAUUUACAAUAUGUUUAUGUUUAAACAUCCACUUUACCAUGAAAAGAUUCACUAGCUAGAGAUCAUUGAUUUUAUGAGACUUGUGUCGAGUUACCAAUAAUUUGAUAGAUAGAGUUUCGAUAAUUUUUGAGAGAGUUCAGGCGUGGGGUACUUUUGAUUUAUGUGCUAAUCGCACAUUGUGCUAUUCAUUCUAUAAAGGCAAAAAUUUUGUUAUUUUCGUUUUUUUUUCUCUGUGGUACCUAGUAGGUAGUGAAAGAGCGAGAGAGACAGAAAGACAGAGAGCAAGUAAGAGAAAAGUUUAUUGAAUUCGUAUACAAAUGAGUAUAUAUAUUUUUUUAAAAAGGAAUGCCAUAAAUUCGUUAAACAUUUUGAUAUUAAAUUUUAUAAUACAAAAAUAAAAACAAAAAAAAUUUAAAAAUAAAAAACUGAAACAACACCAUACUUAAAAAACAAAAAGACAAUUGUGCAUUACAUUAUUAUAUAUUGCAUUACAUCUUUCUAGAGAACCAGAAUUAAUUUAUUAUUAAUUAUUCUAUAUAUAUCAUACAUUUCAACGCUUCCAAAAUGGUAUAUAUAAAAAAAUAAAAUAAAUCUUUUGAAUAAAAGUGAGAGUAGGAAUCGGGUGUAAGACAACAAAAUAUAUUUCUAAUUUAAAAAAAAUCCUAAUGUUAUAAAUUCACAAAAAUUCUAUCGAAAUAAUUAAGUGUUAAGAUUAUCUUAAAGUUUCUCUAAAAAGCAACCCGAUCUACGGUGACCUAAAAAAAAUCGUCUUAUAAAUUUGGGUUAAAUUAAUUAGUCCAGACUCUUGUCAGAAACAUUGGCUCAGCGUAACGUAUUUCUGUAUUACCUGAUUUUAAUGGUUGUUCUCUGUGAAUUAUCUACCAAAAAAAAGCUCAGAAUUUUGAGCCUCUGAAAUUGUUUUCCUUGUAGCCCUUCUGUUACAUUUAGUAAAAGGUAAAUCGUUUUUUCGUGAAGAUGCACCAACAGGGAGAUUGGAAAACCAAUUUUCCUUUUGCAAACUGUGACAAAGGAGCUUCGGUGCAAGGAAUAAAAAUUCAAAGGCUUUUUUGGGCGAUACUUUACACCACUUAAUGAUAUGAUUGAAGCUGAAAGUCAAAUACCGACACUAUUUUGUCACAGUCCGAAAACAUUCUUCAUCAAAAUGUCCGAUGUCGGAGCCAGUCUUUUAAAAAGAAAAGUCUUUUCCGCCUAACAAAUAUUUUGAAGAUAGCUAAAUGAGACAAGAGCUUUGACUAUUAUUUAUCAAAAAUAUCACCACAAAAAAUAGAUAAAACUUCAAGACGAAAAUUCACUUGAAUUUUAAGUAUUAAAAUUCACAAAAUGCAAUGUUGAGAUGUUUCUUAAAAUGUUGCCUGUUUUUGGAUACGAAAAGACGUAUUCUUCCCUAUUUAAUUUUUGAUUCAAAGUGUGAUAAAAACGUAAUUGUUAAAGAAACGCAAUGGUUGAGACGACAAACAAACAAAUAAAAUACUAAAAAUAAGAGUUGUAGCAAUUAAAUUUAAGUAAAAAAUCCUUUAUUCCUCUCUGAAACACAGACCUAAACAUAAAUUCUAAUUCUGUAGCCACAACACCCUAAACAACUAUUAUUGAUUUCUAAUUUUUAAUUUAUGAAUUUCAAAUAAAGUGAAAGAGAAAUUGUAAAAAAAAUAAAUGAAUGCAUCGCAUGGGGUCGAGGCGAUGUAAAAUGCGAACUAUAUUUAUUAACUAAAAAUAAGUCUGACGAUAAAACACAUUUUGUUAAAAUAAAAAAAAUAAAAAAUAAUCGACAACUUGAACAAAAAACAAAU
This is a long non-coding RNA of Bradysia coprophila, 3932 nucleotides long. NCBI's taxonomy places the organism in Eukaryota, Metazoa, Arthropoda, Insecta, Diptera, Sciaridae. The record is from RefSeq and is a predicted model, not a curated record.